Molecule: long non-coding RNA, 199 nt
Filed under: Lathyrus oleraceus (garden pea)
Lineage: Eukaryota; Viridiplantae; Streptophyta; Magnoliopsida; Fabales; Fabaceae
Description: Pisum sativum (pea) long non-coding RNA (PSAT_LNC008332)
Source: RNAcentral
GAAUCUCAACUCUUGUAAUUUUUAUUUUUAUUUAUUUUUUAAUUAGCGUCUUUCUUAUUUUUUAUUUUAUUAUCAAACAAAAGAAUUUAUUCCCUCAGUUGGGGAACCAAUGGAUGGAAAAAGUGGCUCUGGGACCAAAGUUUAAAUCUCACCUCUUAUAAUUUUUACUUUUAUUUUUAUCUUUUUUAAUUGACACAUU